Molecule: microRNA, 21 nt
Filed under: Mus musculus (house mouse)
Lineage: Eukaryota; Metazoa; Chordata; Mammalia; Rodentia; Muridae
Description: mmu-miR-880-5p
Gene: mmu-miR-880-5p
Source: miRBase by way of RNAcentral
UACUCAGAUUGAUAUGAGUCA